AGUAAAGUCAGCUAACACAAGCUCCUGGGCCCAUACCCCAGCAAUGCAGGUGAAACCCCUGCCUUUACUA
Molecule: transfer RNA, 70 nt
Filed under: Channa bleheri (rainbow snakehead)
Lineage: Eukaryota; Metazoa; Chordata; Actinopteri; Anabantiformes; Channidae
Description: tRNA-Met
Source: RNAcentral